UUUUUUAUAUAUUUAUAUAUAUAUAUAUAUAUAUAUAUAAUUUUUUUUUAAUUGGGGUAGCCCCCAAAAUAUUGGGACAUAUAAAAAAAGACAACUCUGUUCCGCAGAGUAGCUGUUGACAUUAUAGUUGCACAGGCACUUUGUUGACGCUAGAGAACCUCGGGCCAAUCGCACAUCCCCGUGAUGGUGACUUUGCAUUCGAUGUCAUCCAUAUCAGGUUUCUGCACCUACCAUGGUGACCAUGGGUAACGGGGAAUCAGGGUUCCAUUCUGUACAGGGACCCUGAGAAACAGCUACCACAUGUAAAGAAGACAGCAGGCAAGCAAAUGACCAACUCCAGACGCGGGAAGGUAGUGACGACAAAUAACAAUACAGGACUCUUUAGAGGCCCUGUAAUUGUAAUGAGUACACUUGAAAUCCUUUAACUCUGACCAAUUGGAGGGAAGUCUGGUGCAGAGCCACUGACCCGUGCGUGCUGCAGCUGAAACUCCACU
Molecule: ribosomal RNA, 494 nt
Filed under: Pelobates cultripes (western spadefoot toad)
Lineage: Eukaryota; Metazoa; Chordata; Amphibia; Anura; Pelobatidae
Description: SSU_rRNA_eukarya
Rfam family: Eukaryotic small subunit ribosomal RNA
Source: RNAcentral